This 67-nucleotide transfer RNA is filed under the name pig gut metagenome. It matches the Rfam family "tRNA". From Rfam's summary of the family: Transfer RNA (tRNA) molecules are approximately 80 nucleotides in length. Their secondary structure includes four short double-helical elements and three loops (D, anti-codon, and T loops). Further hydrogen bonds mediate the characteristic L-shaped molecular structure. tRNAs have two regions of fundamental functional importance: the anti-codon, which is responsible for specific mRNA codon recognition, and the 3' end, to which the tRNAs corresponding amino acid is attached (by aminoacyl-tRNA synthetases). tRNAs cope with the degeneracy of the genetic code in two manners: having more than one tRNA (with a specific anti-codon) for a particular amino acid; and 'wobble' base-pairing, i.e. permitting non-standard base-pairing at the 3rd anti-codon position. The record is from RNAcentral.
AUCCAUAGCGAAGUUGGUAACGCACGGGAUUGCAAAUCCCUAACCGUCGGUUCGAAUCCGGCUGGAU